Molecule: ribosomal RNA, 372 nt
Filed under: uncultured organism
Description: partial 16S ribosomal RNA
Rfam family: Bacterial small subunit ribosomal RNA
Source: RNAcentral
GUAGGUGGCAAGCGUUGUCCGGAAUUAUUGGGCGUAAAGCGCGCGCAGGCGGUUCUUUAAGUCUGAUGUGAAAGCCCACGGGCUCAACCGUGGAGGGUCAUUGGAAACUGGAGAACUUGAGUACAGAAGAGGAAAGCGGAAUUCCACGUGUAGCGGUGAAAUGCGUAGAGAUGUGGAGGAACACCAGUGGCGAAGGCGGCUUUCUGGUCUGUAACUGACGCUGAGGCGCGAAAGCGUGGGGAGCAAACAGGAUUAGAUACCCUGGUAGUCCACGCCGUAAACGAUGAGUGCUAAGUGUUAGGGGGUUUCCGCCCCUUAGUGCUGCAGCUAACGCAUUAAGCACUCCGCCUGGGGAGUACGGCCGCAAGGCCG